RNAcentral lists this long non-coding RNA (239 nucleotides) under Capsella rubella. RNAcentral describes it as "long non-coding RNA (CRUB_LNC002900)". The record is from RNAcentral. Lineage: Eukaryota; Viridiplantae; Streptophyta; Magnoliopsida; Brassicales; Brassicaceae.
GAGAGAGAGACAAGUAAAAGAUGAAAAGAGUGAUGGAGAUGUUUUAGAGGACAUUGUAAAAAGAACAGUAGAAAAAAUAAAUAAAAAAGCCUAUGACAAGCGUCUUAUCAAAAGACCUUUGAAUGUUUCUUUAUAAACAAUUUGACUAGUAAUGAAAUUUAUAUAUAUGCUGACCACAAACAAAGACAUACUAAAAAAAACUGAAUUAGGUGCGAAUAAAAAAAAAGGGGAUUGUUUAU